UACGGAGGAUCCGAGCGUUAUCCGGAUUUAUUGGGUUUAAAGGGUGCGUAGGCGGUUUGAUAAGUUAGAGGUGAAAUGUCGGGGCUCAACCCCGAAACUGCCUCUAAUACUGUUGGACUAGAGAAUAGUUGCGGUAGGCGGAAUGUAUGGUGUAGUGGUGAAAUGCUUAGAGAUCAUACAGAACACCGAUUGCGAAGGCAGCUUACCAAACUAUAUCUGACGUUGAGGCACGAAAGCGUGGGUAGCAAACAGG
Molecule: ribosomal RNA, 253 nt
Filed under: uncultured bacterium
Lineage: Bacteria
Description: partial 16S ribosomal RNA
Rfam family: Bacterial small subunit ribosomal RNA
Source: RNAcentral